GACGAACGCUGGCGGCGUGCUUAACACAUGCAAGUCGAACGGUGACCUGGGGAGCUUGCUCCCUGGUGAUCAGUGGCGAACGGGUGAGUAACACGUGAGUAACCUGCCCCAGACUCUGGGAUAACUUCGGGAAACCGGAGCUAAUACCGGAUAUGACGCGGAGACGCAUGUCUACCGUGUGGAAAGUUUUUCGGUCUGGGAUGGGCUCGCGGCCUAUCAGCUAGUUGGUGAGGUGAUGGCUCACCAAGGCGACGACGGGUAGCCGGCCUGAGAGGGCGACCGGCCACACUGGGACUGAGACACGGCCCAGACUCCUACGGGAGGCAGCAGUGGGGAAUAUUGCACAAUGGGCGAAAGCCUGAUGCAGCGACGCCGCGUGAGGGAUGACGGCCUUUGGGUUGUAAACCUCUUUCAGCAGGGAAGAAGCGCAAGUGACGGUACCUGCAGAAGAAGCACCGGCUAACUACGUGCCAGCCGCCGCCGUAA
Molecule: ribosomal RNA, 486 nt
Filed under: uncultured bacterium
Lineage: Bacteria
Description: partial 16S ribosomal RNA
Rfam family: Bacterial small subunit ribosomal RNA
Source: RNAcentral